RNAcentral lists this small RNA (92 nucleotides) under Chryseobacterium scophthalmum. RNAcentral describes it as "Flavo-1 RNA". It matches the Rfam family "Flavo-1 RNA". Lineage: Bacteria; Pseudomonadati; Bacteroidota; Flavobacteriia; Flavobacteriales; Weeksellaceae. The record is from RNAcentral.
CUCUAGCCGCGAUUGCAACGGCAUCCUUUUGGGUUGCGGCGAAGCGAAGCGGAGCCGUAACCCAAAAGAUAUAGUGGAAAGCGGGAAAAAGC